RNAcentral lists this ribosomal RNA (497 nucleotides) under uncultured bacterium. RNAcentral describes it as "partial 16S ribosomal RNA". It matches the Rfam family "Bacterial small subunit ribosomal RNA", at positions 28 to 507 of the family's 1533-position model. The record is from RNAcentral.
GAUGAACGCUGGCGGCAUGCCUAACACAUGCAAGUCGAGCGAAGGCACGGGUCUUUUCCUUGGAUGGGGGUGGCGGCGGAGGGGUCAUGCCCACGUGUAUGACAUACCUAUGGGAAUGGGGUAACUACAGGGGACCUGAUCUCAUGGCGGAUGAUAUUUUGAACCGGGUGGUUCAUGAGUGGAAUCCGGUCUUGCUGGCACUAAUAGCCGGAUACACGGUGCAUUAGUUAGUUGGUAGCGAGACGGCUAACCAAGGCUACGAUGCAUAGCCGACCUGAAGGGGUGAUCGGCCACACUGGAACUGAGACACGGUCCAGACUCCUACGGGAGGCAGCAGUAGGGAAUCUUCCGCAAUGGGCGAAAGCCUGACGGAGCAACGCCGCGUGAGUGAUGAAGGUCUUCGGAUCGUAAAGCGCUGUAAUUAGGGAGGAAGAUAAGUGUAUUUAACUGUGCACAUCUUGACGGUACCAAAAGAGAAAGCCACGGCUAACUACGUG